RNAcentral lists this ribosomal RNA (755 nucleotides) under uncultured bacterium. Its description in RNAcentral is "bacterial SSU rRNA". It matches the Rfam family "Bacterial small subunit ribosomal RNA", at positions 97 to 889 of the family's 1533-position model. The record is from RNAcentral.
GGCGAACGGGUGAGUAUAAUGUAGGUAUCUGCCUUUUGGUUUGGAAUAACACGAGGAAACUUGUGCUAAUACCGGAUAAGCCUUCACAGGGAAAGUUUUAACGCCAAAAGAUGAGCCUGCACUUGAUUAGCUAGUUGGUAAGGUAAUGGCUUACCAAGGCUACGAUCAAUAGCUGUUCUUAGAGGAAGAUCAGCCACAUUGGGACUGAGACACGGCCCAAACUCCUACGGGAGGCAGCAGUGGGGAAUCUUGCACAAUGGGGGAAACCCUGAUGCAGCGAUGCCGCGUGAGUGAAGAAGGCCCUUGGGUUGUAAAGCUCUUUCGUCGGGGAAGAAAAUGACUGUACCCGAAUAAGAAGGUCCGGCUAACUUCGUGCCAGCAGCCGCGGUAAUACGAAGGGACCUAGCGUAGUUCGGAAUUACUGGGCUUAAAGAGCACGUAGGUGGUUAAGAAAGUUGGUGGUGAAAUCCCAAGGCUUAACCUUGGAACUGCCACCAAAACUUUUUAACUAGAGUAUGAUUGAGGCAAGCGGAAUUUCUAGUGUAGAGGUGAAAUUCGUAGAUAUUAGAAAGAACACCAAUUGCGAAGGCAGCUUUCUGGAUCAUUACUGACACUGAGGUGCGAAAGCAUGGGUAGCGAAGAGGAUUAGAUACCCUCGUAGUCCAUGCCGUAAACGAUGUGUGCUAGACGUUGGGAAUUUAUUUUUCAGUGUCGCAGCAAAAGCGUUAAGCACACCGCCUGGGGAGUACGACCGC